AGUCCUGCAACGAGCGCAACCCCUAUUUUUAGUUGCUAACAUUUAGUUGAGGACUCUAGAAAGACUGCCUGGGUAACCAGGAGGAAGGUGGGGAUGACGUCAAAUCAUCAUGCCUCUUACAAGUGGGGCUACACACGUGCUACAAUGGCUAAUACAAAAAGAUGCAACCUCGUGAGAGCAAGCAAAUCUUAUAAAAUUAGUCUCAGUUCGGAUUGAAGUCUGCAACUCGACUUCAUGAAGUCGGAAUUGCUAGUAAUCGUAGGUCAGCAAUACUACGGUGAAUACGUUCUCGGGUCUUGUACACACCGCCCGU
Molecule: ribosomal RNA, 313 nt
Filed under: uncultured bacterium
Lineage: Bacteria
Description: bacterial SSU rRNA
Rfam family: Bacterial small subunit ribosomal RNA
Source: RNAcentral